AGGGUAUUGGCCUACCGUGGCAAUGACGGGUAACGGGGAAUUAGGGUUCGAUUCCGGAGAGGGAGCCUGAGAAACGGCUACCACAUCUAAGGAAGGCAGCAGGCGCGCAAAUUACCCAAUCCUAAUACAGGGAGGUAGUGACAAGAAAUAACAAUACAGGACUUUUUGGUUUUGUAAUUGGAAUGAGUUAAGUAUAAACCCCUUUACAAGUAUCAAUUGGAGGGCAAGUCUG
Molecule: ribosomal RNA, 232 nt
Filed under: Cryptosporidium meleagridis
Lineage: Eukaryota; Apicomplexa; Conoidasida; Eucoccidiorida; Cryptosporidiidae
Description: partial 18S ribosomal RNA
Rfam family: Eukaryotic small subunit ribosomal RNA
Source: RNAcentral